This 441-nucleotide ribosomal RNA is filed under the name uncultured bacterium. RNAcentral's name for it is "partial 16S ribosomal RNA". It matches the Rfam family "Bacterial small subunit ribosomal RNA", at positions 338 to 795 of the family's 1533-position model. The record is from RNAcentral.
CCUACGGGGGGCAGCAGUGGGGGAUAUUGCACAAUGGGGGCAACCCUGAUGCAGCGACGCCGCGUGGGUGAAGGCGUGCUUCGGCAUGUAAAGCCCUAUCGGCAGGGAAGACGCAAGACGGUACCUGACUAAGAAGCCCAGGCCAACUACGUGCCAGCAGCCGCGGUAAUACGUAGGGGGCGAGCGUUAUCCGGAUUCACUGGGUGUAAAGGGAGAGUAGACGGGCAUGCAAGCCAGGGGUGAAAGCUUGGGGCCCAACCCCGGGACUGCCCGUGGAACUGUUCGGCUAGAGAGUGGUAGGGGUAGACGGAAUGUAUGGUGUAGCGGUGAAAUGCUUAGAGAUCAUGCAGAACACCGGUUGCGAAGGCAGCUUACCAAGCUACUACUGACGUUGAGGCACGAAAGCGUGGGGAGCAAACAGGAUUAGAUACCCGAGUAGUC